Acanthisitta chloris (rifleman) is the source of this 1006-nucleotide long non-coding RNA. RefSeq lists it as uncharacterized. Lineage: Eukaryota; Metazoa; Chordata; Aves; Passeriformes; Acanthisittidae. The transcript has 3 exons. The record is from RefSeq and is a predicted model, not a curated record.
GGUCUUUCUCCUCUACAAAGAAGCUUUGUUGCCAAGAUUUACUCUGAAAAUGGCCUACAGUACUGACUGCAGAUGUCUGCAAAUGUAGAAGCUGAUAAAUUGUAUCUCCUUCCCUCCCCUGACUUUCCUGUGGACUUCCUAUUUCUAAAUUUUUUUAAAGUUAGACCUCUGUUGAAGACAUUUGGAUUACAACUGUGAGCAUAUCUAUGCAAAGAGACAAGCUACCUUGAGCAAUUUUUGAGCUCUGCUCCGUGGAGGGACUGCUGUGUGCCAGCCAUGCUAAAGGGCAAGUGAUGGAGAUAAGCAUGAGAUCACCGUGGCACAGCUGCAUGUGUAGUCACUCUUGAAGCCAUUGCACACCUAAUUGGCUGACAAUCUUGGCAUUUUCCAAAUAAACACAAGCCUUUAAAAGACAGGGGACUUCAUUUAUGUAUGACUAGUCAAAUAAAGCUGUUGGGUGUCAUCAAUGGAGCCCUCUGGCACUGAACAGUUGUGCGAUGACCCUGAUCCUGGAGGCAAAUCCCAAGAUCAAGAGACCAAAAAACAACAUGAUUCAGAGCAAAAAUUAUCCAAAAUAACGCAUAAUGCUUUGGAGAACAUUAAUGUCAUUGGGCAAGGCUUGAAGCACCUUUUCCAGCACCAGCGCAGGAGAUCGUCUGUUUCUCCCCACGAUGUGCAGCAAGCUCAGGCUGAGCUGGAGCCUGACCUGGAUUUGGAAAGCCAAAGCGUCUGUGCUGAAAUUGAUGGUGUCUCCACCCACCCCACAGCUCUGAACCGGGUGCUUCAGCAGAUCAGAGUGCCACCUAAAAUGAAGAGAGGGACGAGCCUGCACAGCAGGUGGGGCAAGGCAGAUGCCCCGAAAGGAAGCCCACAGAUCAACAGAAGGUCUGCCCAGGAUAUUCAGUCAGGUCGGCCCAGGUCGUCAUCUACUACAGAUGCUCCCACAAACUUGUCCAUGAUGGAGAUUGCUGCUUCUAUCUAUGUAGGUGGAGAGGAGGCCGCAGCA